RNAcentral lists this ribosomal RNA (466 nucleotides) under uncultured bacterium. RNAcentral describes it as "partial 16S ribosomal RNA". It matches the Rfam family "Bacterial small subunit ribosomal RNA", at positions 28 to 507 of the family's 1533-position model. The record is from RNAcentral.
GAUGAACGCUGGCGGCGUGCUUAACACAUGCAAGUCGAACGAUGAAGCCCAGCUUGCUGGGUGGUUUCGUGGCGAACGGGUGAGUAACACGUGAGUAACCUGCCCUUAACUCUGGGUUAAGCCUGGUAAACUGGGUCUAGUUCCGGCCAGGAGCGUCCUCCGCAUGGAUGGUUUUGGAAAGAUUUAUCGGUUUUGGAUGGCCUCUCGGCGUAUCCGCUAGUUGGUGAGGUAAUGGCUCACCAAGGCCACGCCGGGUAGCCGGCAUGAGAGGGGGAACGGCGACAAGAGGACUGAGAGACGGAGCAGAAUCGAACGGGAGGCAGUAGUGGGGAGUAUGGCACAAUGGGCGCAAGCGUGAUGCAGCGACGCCGCGUGAGGGAUGACGGCCUUCGGGUUGUAAACAACUGUCAGUAGGGAAGAAGAGAAAGUGACGGUACCUGCAGAAGAAGCACCGGCUAACUACGUG